RNAcentral lists this non-coding RNA (92 nucleotides) under unclassified sequences. RNAcentral's name for it is "chrB RNA". It matches the Rfam family "chrB-a RNA". The record is from RNAcentral.
GUGAUGGGGAUUGCGAUCUCCCCACGAGGCGACAGGCCGAAGCAUCGCGUCCGCACAGACUGCCUCUUUUCAACGUGCAAGGACGCGCGAUG